UGGGGAAUAUUGCACAAUGGGCGGAAGCCUGAUGCAGCAACGCCGCGUGAGUGAUGAAGGCCUUCGGGUUGUAAAGCUCUGUCUUUUGGGACGAUAAUGGACGGUACCAAGGAGGAAGCCACGGCUAACUACGUGCCAGCAGCCGCGGUAAUACGUAGGUGGCAAGCGUUGUCCGGAUUUACGGGCGUAAAGGAUGCGUAGGCGGAUUUUUAAGUGAGAUGUGAAAUACCCGGGCUUAACUUGGGUGCUGCAUUUCAAACUGGGAAUCUAGAGUGCGGGAGAGGAAAUGGAAUUCCUAGGUGUAGCGGUGAAAGUGCGUAGAGAUUAGGAAGAACACCAGUGGCGAAGGCGAUUCUCUGGCACCGUCAACUGACGCUGAGGCAUGAAAGCGUGGGUA
Molecule: ribosomal RNA, 397 nt
Filed under: uncultured bacterium
Lineage: Bacteria
Description: partial 16S ribosomal RNA
Rfam family: Bacterial small subunit ribosomal RNA
Source: RNAcentral